AUGAAUCUUACUCAUCAAUCUAUAGACUAAUCAUGGGGCCAGAAGUAACUAAAGGAAAGCAGGAAUGGACAGCCUUCAAAGGAGUUAAUAACUUGGCAGUAUAGCAGGAUGGUCAUGAGCCUGGCUCCACCACUGAGGAUUAACUGAGUAGUCUUCUUUAGGGGGGAGGGAGAAGAUGGCGGAAGAGUAAGACGCGGAGAUCACCUUCCUUCCCACAGAUACAGUAGAAAUACAUCUACACGUGGAACUGCUCCUACAGAACACCCACUGAACGCUGGCAGAAAACGUCCGACCUCCAAAAAGGCAAGAAACUCCCCCCGUACUUGGGUAGGGCAAAAGAAAAAAGAAAUAACAGAGACAAAAGAAUAGGGACGGCACCUGCACCAGUGGGAGGGAGCUGUGAAGGAGGAAAGGUUUCCACGCACUAGGAAGCCCCUUCGCGGGCGGAGACUGCGGGUGGCAGGGGGGGAAGCUUUGGAGCCACGGAGGAGAGCGCAGCCACAGGGGUGCGGAGGGCAAAGCGGAGAGGUCCCCGCACAGAGGCUCGGCGCCGAGCAGCACUCACCAGCCCGAGAGGCUUGUCUGCUCCCCCGCUGGGGCGGGCAGGGCUGGGAGCUGAGGCUUGGGCUUCGGUUGGAUCGCAGGGAGAGGACUGGGGCUGGCGGCGUGAACACAGCCUGAAGGGGUUAGCGCACCACAGCUAGCCGGGAGGGAGUCCGGGGAAAAAGUCUGCAGCUGCCGAAGAGGCAAGAGACUUUUUCUUCCCUCUGUGUUUCCUGGUGCGCAAGGAGAGGGGAUUCAGAGCGCCGCCUAAACGAACUCCAGAGACUGGCGCGAGCCGCAGCUAUCAGCGCGGACCCCACAGCAACAGGGGCGCAGAGGAAAAACGGAGAGAUUCCCGCACGGAGGCUCGGCGCCGAGCAGCACUCAGCAGCCCGAGAGGCUUGUCUGCUCCCCCGCCGGGGCGGGCGGGGCUGGGAGCUGAGGCUCGGCUUCGGUCGGAUCGCAGGGAGAGGACAGAGGCUGGCAGCGUGAACACAGCCUGAAGGGGUUGGCGCACCACAGCUAGCCGGGAGGGAGACCGGGAAAAGGUCUGCAGCCGUCGAAGAGGCAAGAGACUUUUUCUUGCCUCUUAGUUUCGCUGCGCGCAAGGAGAGGGGAUUCAGAGCGCCGCCUAAACGAACUCCAGAGAAGGGCGCAAGCCGCGGCGAUCAGCGCGGACCCCAGAGACGGGCGUGAGACGCUGGGGCUGCUGCUGCCGCCUCCAAAAAGCCUGUGUGUGAGCACAGGUCACUCUCCACACCGCCCCUCCCGGUAGCCUGUGCAGCCCGCCACUGCCAGGGUCCCGGGAUCCGGGGACAACAUUCCCGGGAGAACGCACUGCGCGCCUCAGGCUGGUGCAACGUCACGCCGGCCUCUGACGCUGCAGGCUCGCCCUGCCUCCUCUGUACCCCUCCCUCCCCGCGGCCUGGGUGAGCCAGAGCCCCCGAAGCAGCUGCUCCUUUAACCCCGUCCUGUCUGGGCGGGGAACAGACGCCCUCAGGCGACCUACACGCAGAGGAGGGUCCAAAUCCAAAGCUGAACCCCAGGAGCUGUGUGAACAGGGAAGAGAAGGGGAAAUCUCUCCCAGCAGCCUCAGAAGCAGCGGAUUAAAACUCCACAAACAACGUGAUGUACCUGCAUCUGUUGAAUACCUGAAUAGACAACGAAUCAUCCCAAAUUCAGGAGGUGGACUCUGGGAGCAGGAGAUAUUAAUUUUUGCCCUUUUCCUUUUUUUUGUGAGUGUAUAUGUAUAUGCUUCUGGGUGAGAUUUUGUCUGUAUAGCUUUGCUUUACAAUAGCUUUAUUUUACUUCACUA
This is a long non-coding RNA of Balaenoptera acutorostrata (minke whale), 1858 nucleotides long. RefSeq lists it as uncharacterized. Lineage: Eukaryota; Metazoa; Chordata; Mammalia; Artiodactyla; Balaenopteridae. The record is from RefSeq and is a predicted model, not a curated record. The transcript is spliced from 2 exons.